Ribosomal RNA from Nocardioides sp. Root151, 117 nucleotides. Lineage: Bacteria; Bacillati; Actinomycetota; Actinomycetes; Propionibacteriales; Nocardioidaceae. The record is from Rfam.
UUCGGCGGCCAUAGCGAUGGGGAAACACCCGGCUCCAUUCCGAACCCGGAAGUUAAGCCCUUCAGCGCCGAUGGUACUGCAACCGGGAGGUUGUGGGAGAGUAGGACGUCGCCGGAC